RNAcentral lists this ribosomal RNA (515 nucleotides) under uncultured bacterium. RNAcentral's name for it is "partial 16S ribosomal RNA". It matches the Rfam family "Bacterial small subunit ribosomal RNA", at positions 28 to 523 of the family's 1533-position model. The record is from RNAcentral.
GAUGAACGCUGGCGGCGUGCCUAAUACAUGCAAGUCGAGCGAAUGGAUUAAGAGCUUGCUCUUAUGAAGUUAGCGGCGGACGGGUGAGUAACACGUGGGCAACCUGCCCAUAAGACUGGGAUAACUCCGGGAAACCGGGGCUAAUACCGGAUAACAUUUUGAACCGCAUGGUUCGGAAUUGAAAGGCGGCUUCGGCUGUCACUUAUGGAUGGACCCGCGUCGCAUUAGCUAGUUGGUGAGGUAACGGCUCACCAAGGCAACGCUGCGUAGCCGACCUGAGAGGGUGAUCGGCCACACUGGGACUGAGACACGGCCCAGACUCCUACGGGAGGCAGCAGUAGGGGAUCUUCCGCAAUGGACGAAAGUCUGACGGAGCAACGCCGCGUGAGUGAUGGAGGCUUUCGGGUCGUAAAACUCUGUUGUUAGGGAAGAACAAGUGCUAGUUGAAUAAGCUGGCACCUUGACGGUACCUAACCAGAAAGCCACGGCUAACUACGUGCCAGCCGCCGCAGUAA